Molecule: long non-coding RNA, 1603 nt
Filed under: Homo sapiens (human)
Lineage: Eukaryota; Metazoa; Chordata; Mammalia; Primates; Hominidae
Description: HSALNT0130057
Source: RNAcentral
GGGCUGCCCACAGGCUGCACCAGGGUCGCUGGCCAUUGAUGAAUAGUCUGAGAUCUGACCCCUGUGGGAAAGAUAAAGUGCCAUUUACAGAGGAGCACCCCAGCCUGGCUUGCCUUCCCCAGACAGAGGGGCAGCUCAAGCUCUUGCAUGACACAGGCACCUGGAAUCCAUCAUGGGGAGUAGACUGGGGGAGCCAAGGAUGCAAAGCAUCCCUGGGCCAGGGAAGACCAACAGAACGAACUCCUUCUCAGGAGAUAGAGAGAACUAAGAAUCAUCAGAUCAGCCCCUAAGGCUAAAUUCCCAUAUCUGUUCCAGACAAUCAGGAAUAGACUCAAGAGUGUCAAACCAACAGCUCAGACUCUGCAUUCACGGGAUUGGGGUGAGGGUGAGGAUGAGAAAAGAGGCUUGCCAGAGAGGAGGGCACCCACCAAAGAAAGUGCCCAGGAGAAGGGCAAGGAGAGAGCAGAGCAUCAUCCAAGCCAGCCUUUCCUUCAGCUAGUCUGGGGGACAGACGCCUCCUCUUCUGGGCCAGUGAUGUGGUCAGGCUGCUCCCUCUGGGAGAUCUGCUGCCAGAGCAGAGGAAUCCUACCCCAUGAGCUGGGGAGGAAAUGAGGCUAGUCUUCUUUUAAGAGUGUGGUGAAUCACCCCCAGCCUCCCUGGGAACCAGCUAUACUCUGCACUUGUUAUCUUCUUUGCAUUCCUGCUGACAUCCUGGAAAGGGAUGAGAGAGAGGUGGAGAGAGAAGAAAUGGAAAUUCAAAAGUUUUGACGGCAGAGGAAAAUUGUGCUUAUUUCCAGAAUGAGACGAACAAGGUCCUGGGUCCCUACAUGUCAUACUGGCUAGAGACUGGGAAACAGAUUAACUGAGAGAAGCCAUCAAGCCUGAAGAGACAUCGUGUUUGAAAUGUGUAAGGCACAGUGUACCCGCCGUGGAUCAAAACAACCUGAAGGACAGACAGACAGACACACCGAGGAUCAGCAGAUAUCAGUGGGGACAGGUGCUGAUGAUGGUGCAAAUGAGAGUCAUGAAGGAAAGUUAAAUGAUGACCAAAGACCAAGUACCUUCCCCACAAUGCUUUGACAAGCGCUUUUAUAAGCACCCUGGAAUUUAGACACUACCCGGGGAGAAAAGGAAAGGGAGACAAGCAUGAAUUGUCUGAGAAACCCCUGAAUUAAUCAUGUGUACCCCAAUGCAACAAGGAUCUAGAUAUAGAAUAAUUUUAAUUAUAGAAAACAAAAUUAUAUUUUACCCACCCAUAUUUGAUGCCCAUGAAUUUCACAUCUACCUUACGUGCACAUAAAAUUCAAGCUUAGAUAGACGGAAAACAAAAAAUCAAGAAGCAAUAUUUGCCUUCUAAUAACUUAUCUAUUGGAGGAGGUAAAAGAUAGAAAAGUAGUUCAGAUGACAAAUACUAAAAGAGUUAGGAACUUCUGCUUCCACUUACGAUGAAGGAACUUGUACUCAAUCCAUCCACUUUGUAAUUCUCCUUGAGCUGCUGUAAUAAAGUACCACAAACUGGGUGACUUAAAACAACAGAAUUUAUUGUCUCAUGGUUCUGGAGCCUAGAAGUCUAAAAUCAAGGUAUCAACAGAGCUAUGCUUCC